CCCUUAGAUGUUCUGGGCCGCACGCGCGCUACACUGAAGGAAUCAGCGUGGCUUUCUCCCUGACCCGAAAGGGUUGGGAAACCCGUUGAAUCUCCUUCGUGAUAGGGAUUGGGGCUUGAAAUUGUUCCCCAUGAACGAGGAAUUCCCAGUAAGCGCGAGUCAUAAGCUCGCGUUGAUUACGUCCCUGCCCUUUGUACACACCGCCCGUCGCUACUACCGAUUGAAUGCUCAGGUGAGCCAUUCGGACUUUCAUCAUGCUGGUUUCCAGUUUUGAUGAAGGAAAGUCUUGCGAACCUUAUCAUUUAGAGGAAGGAGAAGUCGUAACA
Molecule: ribosomal RNA, 326 nt
Filed under: uncultured eukaryote
Lineage: Eukaryota
Description: partial 18S ribosomal RNA
Rfam family: Eukaryotic small subunit ribosomal RNA
Source: RNAcentral